CCUGAAGGCUCAGACGGUAAAGAAUCUGCCUGCAAUGCAGAAGACCCAGGUUCAAUCCCUGGGUCAGGA
RNAcentral lists this transfer RNA (69 nucleotides) under Ovis aries (sheep). It matches the Rfam family "tRNA". Rfam says of the family: Transfer RNA (tRNA) molecules are approximately 80 nucleotides in length. Their secondary structure includes four short double-helical elements and three loops (D, anti-codon, and T loops). The record is from Rfam by way of RNAcentral. Lineage: Eukaryota; Metazoa; Chordata; Mammalia; Artiodactyla; Bovidae.